UACGUAGGGGGCUAGCGUUGUCCGGAUUUAUUGGGCGUAAAGAGCGUGUAGGCGGCCAGGUAGGUCUGCUGUGAAAACUCGAGGCUCAACCUCGAGAUGUCGGCGGAAACCACUUGGCUAGAGCCCGGAAGAGGAGAGUGGAAUUCCUGGUGUAGCGGUGAAAUGCGCAGAUAUCAGGAAGAACACCUAUGGCGAAGGCAGCUCUCUGGGACGGUACUGACGCUGAGACGCGAAAGCGUGGGGAGCGAACAGG
RNAcentral lists this ribosomal RNA (253 nucleotides) under uncultured bacterium. Its description in RNAcentral is "partial 16S ribosomal RNA". It matches the Rfam family "Bacterial small subunit ribosomal RNA", at positions 524 to 776 of the family's 1533-position model. The record is from RNAcentral.